GGUGAACCCUCAGACAGAGUUGAUUGGGAAUGCCUGACUUCACUGGAACAACUUGGCGCGCACCUGGUAUAGAGGGACUGCCGAUAAGUUGCCAACCCCACGUGGGAACUCUUUGUCAUUCUGUCUAUCUGUUGUUAUCAUUCACUAUUAGCUCUUUAUUACUGUACCAUCUGUUUGUUGCAUUAACCUUUCUAUUAACUGUUGUACACUAAGCUAUAAGUAAAUUUGCCUUUACUUCACUCCCGUCUCGCCUCUUCGAUUCUGAACCCAGCAGCCUCAUGGCUGAUGCACUUACAGUGCCUAGCCAGCCUGUGACACCCUGGACAGUGGGAGGAGUUCAUAGAUGGGGAGGCUCAAGUGGAGCACUUUCCAUAUCUCAGCAUCCACCUCUGUCAACAGGCUACCAUUGAUGAAGGAGUCCAGCACUGGGUCAACUGUGCCAGUGCUGCCUUCUUCAAGCUGUGACAAGUGUCUUUGAAAAUAGAGAACAUUGGAAGUCAACAAAGGUCCUGGUUUAUAAGGCUGUCAUGCUGACUACCCUCCUUUACUGCUGUGAAGCCUGGACUGCCUACCAACGCCACAUUAAGACCCUUGAGAGCUUUCACCAGCAGAGCUUGCAUUGAAUCCUGGGGAUCAAAUAGGAAGACCACCAGACCAGCGGAGCAUCCUCCAUGAAGCUGUGUCUACCAGCAUUGAAGUCUUGCUCUUGAGAAAUUAACUCCAAUGGACAGGCCCCUGCAUCUGGAUGUCCAAGAACUUCCUCCAUUGCCAGAUUUUCUUCUCCCAGCUCUCUGUUGGCCACUGCUCAAAGGGUGGCCAAAGGAAAUGGUACAAAGACAUGCUCAAGGUUGCCCUCAAGCAUAGAGGCAUUGGCACAAACGGUUGGGAGGAGCAAGCUGCUGGCCAUUCAGUGUGGCACCACCUGGUCCAUCAAGGCACGUGCCACUUCAAGGCCCAACAACUCGAUACUGAGACAGAACAACAGCGGUGGAGGAAGGAGAAGGAGACCAACCCGGGGCUGUGAAUCCCACUCCCCUGUGCACCAACAUGCCCCCAUUGCCAAAGAACACGUGCAUGCAGAAUCAGGCUCCUCAGUCACCUGAGGACUCAUCAAGCCUGACAGACAUCAUCCUUGACUUUAAGGGACUGCUGAUGAGAUGAUGACAAGACUGGAUGGAAGAAAAUAACAGCAAUAAUAAUUCUUAUUUACCUUAUGGAUAUUGUGAGGAUCAAUGAAUAGGACUAGAUUUUUGCUCAAGAUAUGUCUUUACUUAUUUCAAUCAUUGAUAUCACUUUCUGAAGAACUUGAAUAUUCCUGGUAAGAUUCCCCUGAAUCCCAUAUUUCUGUGCAUACAACCCACCUCCAAAUCAAAAACACAGUUUGUUUUUGGAAGACAGAAUGUAGAAAAAAAUAUUUUUUCCAGAGUCAUGGCCAACUGUGGGACAUAGUGUAAGUCCUUCUGAAAACAGAGUAUCCAGAAAGUGUAACAUCAGGGACUUUCUGGUAUGGCAGACUGUCUCUUUCAAUGCCAUAUAUCCUGGACACACUAUUUUCUAGGAGGACUUACUCUAUGUCACACAAGGUUAGGCCCUAGAUCCUUGCAAAGGGCAGUAGCAAGGCUAUUAGUUCUUCAUUGUAUGUAGCUCUUUAUAUAAGUUCCUGUAAAUAAAGUGUUUCCAUGUCACAAACCUCAUCAAGAUAUUACCGGCAGAUCACUUGCUGCUUUGGGCAUAAGCUAUACUUCUCAGUCAAUAGCUAUGGCUGUGGAAGGGGUAACACAAGGCUCCAACUUCAGGCUGCUGAGAAGAUACAAGUGACAGCCAUCUUGGUACCCACAUGGCAUGUACAGUGUCUCCAAGAGUGCUCCUUUUUUAGUGAAGAAGAGCUUACAGGUUCACACAAACAAGGUGAUUUGGGGGAAAGAUGCAUGUUGUAUGUGAGAAAAUAUGGUAUAUGGACCAGUGCCAAGCAACUUCUGUUUGACAUCUAAAAGGGCUCUAACAAGGUUGAGCCAAUAUGGGCCAAAUGAACUAUGUUCCUGUAACAUGCCAUCUUAUUUCAUUGAUCUUAAUGUCAGUACUCAGUCUAUUCAGAAACUACAGGUUUUACACUGUAGAUGUUAUAGGCUAAUGUAGUCAAUGCAGUUCAGAUGGGUUGCUUGCUGAAUCUUGACUCCUUCAGGGGUUCAUUAAAAUAUGUUAUAUAACAUUGCUAUAGUGGAUAUAUCAUUAUAUUAUAUCAUAUUAUGUGAUCAUUAGAAUAGUGUAGAAACUUUAUAUGCUUAUUGUAAUAUCAGUUUUCACUGCUGGCCUAAAAUUGUAAGUCAUCACUCAUAUAACAAGCCCUCACUUAACUAAGUGGUCCUGGGUAUGACCCUCCAACUGGAAGGCCUGGUGGCAAGGUGGUGGAAUUACUUGUGGCGGGGUAGCUCCUAUAAAAUACCACAAUGUUUUAAGCUCCAGAGUAAGGUGAGUAUAGGGCACCUCAAAACACUAGUCCCCACUGCCUUGUGGGUACUGCUUGGUUGGAGAAAGGCUAAGGGACAUCACCCUGACAAAAAUCACCCUCACUCAGGUGUUAGGCAGUCAGCAGCGGUCCUUACCUGUAGCUUUCUGGCAGAAACUAUAACCAUUGAGGCACUGAACAUCUGGACCUGGUCUGGCCUUUGGAUUCUGGUUCAAUGGUCUAAAGAGGGGUAUGGUAAGUCUUGGGCAGCCUCCACUCCUCCAUAUUCUUGCCUAGGUGUACAUGUUGAAGGUCUUGGUAUGAUGAUCACAGAAUUCCUUACAAGCAGAUUAAUCAGGUACCUGACUAGACCUUUUACAUGUAUACUAUGAAUCAAAGGAUCGACAGUUGCUUACUGCUCAAGGAAAUUACUCCAUUAAAAUGAAUUUGACUACUUGCUCUCAAUAAAGACUUCUCAUAGAGGUGAAUAUUUGUAGUAUUGGAUUGCACAUCCUGUCUGAGAACUAGUAGGAUUUGCACAUUGCUCAAGCAGAUGUGCUCACUGCUUUUAGCUGCUGUACAUUUUUAAUUAAGGGAAUUAAAGUGAUUGUCUCAUAGGACUGAGAUCAGGAAAGAGUUCACUAAAUAUACUAUGCAGUCACAUCUCCCUUGAAAUUGCUUGAUGGUACUUAUUGAUGCUCUUGGCUGUAUUGUUCCUUAUCCACUAAUUGUCUUUUCAUCACAGCAUUAUAGGUUAAUGGAUUUAGCAGCUGGUUAAGUACAGUAUAUAUGUUUCUUGGCCUUUGUUCAGAGUUGCUUUAGCUCUUUUGAAACCCUGAUUUCCAGCUGGGAACAAAAGCAAUGUUGAAUGUCCUCAGCAGACAGCUAAGGAUACAGUUUAAUUAGCGUACUUUGAUCUUCUGUGUGGUGGCUGAUGAUUUACUACAGCUUGCAGCACAGUGAGACAAUAAUAUUUCAUGGUCAUUAUGACAGUAUCCUUUGAGCUUGAGCUAUCAUUAAAAGUAGAUUGAUUAUAAUGGGAUUUUGUGAAGCUAAGCAAACAAGAUAAAAUUAAUGUUUUAUCCAAAAGAGUGUAAGAAGGGAGAAAUUCGUAAUAAAAAAUAUUGGAUCAAAUUCUGGCUACAUUGAAAUCAACAGCCAAAUUCCCAUUGACUGUGUUAGGUGUAGGGUUUCAUUUAUAGAGUAUUCCAGACUCUGAGUAACCUGGCAGAUUUUUGGAUGGAUGCAAGAUGCUUAGGGAAAAUCCUCAUGUUUAUCUUGUGGUAGCAUCACCACUACAACAUGUAUGAUUAAAGAAACACUAAUUACAAUGCAGAAAGCAAAUCUUCACUUGCGUUGGCUCCACUGUCUAUAAGCAGGAGUCCAAGACAGUCAGCUGGUUGUACUUGAGUAUAAAAACUGAGACACUCACAAUCCCUUUGGUCCUGUUUGCUGUCCAUUCCUCUAGGACAGUGGUGCUCAACCUAUGGCCCAUGGGCUGGAUCUUCCCUAUGGAACUGUCAUCCAGCCCUCCAGAGCCAUGGCAAUAAAUGCUGCCAUCACUUCCCUGCUGCCAAAUUUCCACACCUGUGGGGAGCCCCAUGGGCUGGAUGGCAUGGCCCUGCACACCAGAUUGUGUGGGCGCAUGGUUGAGCUGUGGCUGGACCUGGCAUGCAGGGUUGUGCUGGCAUGUGUGGUCACAUUGCAGUCGGAUCUAGUGUGCGGGGGUGUGCCAGAUCACCUCCUCAGACAGGCCCCAUGCUGGUUCAGGCCCAUGAGUGGAUUUAGCCUGCACAGUGGCCUCACACCUCUCAUCCAGUUGGGUGCAGUAGGAGGGAGAGGAGGCUGACUGGGCACAUGUGCAGGCUCUCAGCACACGUGUGCCCCCCGCAACGUACCUGAGGCAAUAGAGGCUGAGAAGCAACAGCAGGGGCAGCAGCAGCUGACCCCCCAAAGGUAAGUGGGGCAGGAGCUGAUGCAGUUGCAGAGGAUCCAGAGGGGAAGCCCCUGGAUCCCUCUUUGCUAAGCCGGGCAGGGAGCCACACUCCUGAGCCACACACAAACAGAGCACGCAAACACGUGCGCUCUGUAAGGGUGUGCUUGCAUUUGCACGAGGUGGGCGCACAAAGAGUAAGUAACAAGAAGUAGCACCUAGCAAGAGCAAUGAUGACUCGAAGCUCAGCAGCUAAGGUAAGAGCAGCUAAGGUAAGAGCACGGGAUGCAGCUGCAGCUCAGAUGGCAGUGCCCACCCGUGGUUCCUCUGAGGUGUCCACUCAGACAGAGCUCUGCGCCCCCUGUCUGCAGGGGUGGCCUGGCAGUGACCUUGCCAUCAGGGGAGGGAGGGAGCCCCCUCGCCUGUCCCUCAUGUGCCCAUCUUUGGGCCUUGGAGGAGCAGGUGAGGGAACUCCAGGAGGCAGUGGGCAGGCUAAGGGGGAUCAGGGAUGAUGAGGCUGUGAUUGAUGGGUAUUUCCAUUCCUUACAGCUCCAGAUGCCCACAGGUGAAACUCAACGUGAGGAGUCUACAGCAGGGGAGUGGAGGACAGUCACCUCUGGAUCCAGGCGGCGGGGCCUGGUGUCUGCUUCCCCAUUGCAUGUGGGGAACGGAUACGGGGCCCUGACAACAGUGGAAGAGACAGAGGAGGAGCAUUUUCCUGCAGAGGAGGUGAUCCUUGUAGCCCCUACUGGGCAGGCUGGGGGAUCACUGCCCAGGCAGAAGAAGAAACGCCGUGUGAUUGUGGUGGGUGACUCGAUCCUGAGAGGCACGGAGAGGCCGAUCUGUCGACUGGAUCCUGUGGUGAGAGAAGUCUCCUGCAUGCCUGGAGCUAAGAUCAGGGACAUCACUGAGGUGAUUCCUGCUCUCAUUAAGCCCUCUGACUACUACCCCGUGGUCCUUGUCCAUGUGGGAACCAAUGAUGCAGCUAGGACCAGCCCUGACCGCAUCAUGAAGGACUUCCAUGAACUGGGAGACAAACUCAAGAAGACUGGAGCAUAGGUUGUAUUUUCUUCCAUCCUUCCGGUUGGCAGCAGCUGGAGAUGCCAGGGUGCCUGCAUCAAGGAAGUCAACCGGCAGCUCCAGAGUUGGUGUCUUCAGGAGAGCUUCAGAUUCUACAGCCAUGACCAGCACUUCCAGGGAGGAGGCUUCCUGGGAGCUGAUGAUCUUCAUCUCUCUCUGAGAGAAACCUCCUGAAGAACCCAUGGCACUGAGCAUGGCUAUAUUUUAUCUAUCUGCUAGAUUGCAGAUGGACAGAUAAAAAACAUUUGCUGGAAGAUAUCUGGGAUCUUGGACUGGAAGUAUUUCUGCAGUUGCUGGAAGAUGAUGUUUUCACAGGCACCAAAAGAGAAAAUAGUUCAGUGGUUCAAGACUGCUAACUAUUAAAAGUGUUUAUUCACAAAGAAAAUAAAGUCCAGUGACAUUUUCCCAGUAGAUGCUCUUUUUUGCUUCCACCAAAAAAAAAAAAAUCUUUCUCCUUUUGUUUGGUAAUGUGGUAGAGUUAAAUAUUACUUGCAAGCAGAGUUAUGCUGAGGUCUAUUAAACCUUUCUUUUUCAGAAUUUUAUACCAGAUAAGGCCAGAAGGGACCAUUGUGGUCUUCUAGACUGAUGUCCUGUAUAACUGAAGCCACUGGAAGUCUCUAAAAUAAUUUUUGUUUGAACAAGCCCAUCUUUUUCAAAAGCGUCCAGUCUUCGUUGAAACAUUUCUAGUGAUGGAGAAUUUACUGCAGCCCAUGGAAAUUGUUCUCCAAGGGUGAUAAAUAACACUAUUAAAAUAUAUGACUGAUUCUUGUCUGAAUUUGUCUAGCUUGAGCUUCUGGCUGCUGGAAGUUACCAUAGAUGUGUUGAGGAACUCUGUUAUCAAAUGUUUGUUUCUUCUGUGGGUACUUACGGGCAUAUAUCUAGGCUUACAGGCAGCCACCACCACCAUUAAGCCAGCAGGAUGCAUACAUGUACUUUUGGGCUAAGUACAGAUAGUUAAAAAGCCAGAGGCUGAAUUGAUUCAAUGUAUGCAAGCUUCUCUAAACUGUAGAUUGAACCGAUAAUGAGGUGAACUGAUAUUCACUUUUGAAAUGGGAAAGGCAGCCAGACCCCUAUAGUGGCUCACAGCAGAAGCCAGGGCAUGCUAGAGCAUGCCUCUCAGCCUGCCAGCUACUUCUGAGGGCAGGGGAAUGAACCCCAGUGGGGCUCAUCCUUGACUGGCUGCCCAGCACCACCCCCACAAGCCCUUGCUGUCUCUGCCGGAGGUGGGGUGGGGAGCAGGACAGUCCCUCCAGCCUGGAGCUGGGGCUGGGGCUGGCUGGAUCUUAGCCUCAGUGGGGGUUCCAUGUUUCUGACAGGUUCCCCUGGGCCCUGCCCCAGUGCAAAGAGGGGAUUUGCCCUUCCCACCCCGCAGUAUGGUCCCACACAGGCUUGGCCCUGCCCCCAUGGGUGGGAGGAAAUAGUCCCUCCAGCCCAGGGAUGGCUGGAUCCCUGUUCCGGGACGUGUUCCCUCCCUUCCCCCCUCCUCUGCCCCUCAGAGGCAAGGGCAGCUGGUGAGGGAGUAGGGCUAAGGAAUCCCAGCCCAGCUCUCUAGACCACAGUAGGGGGUGGGCUUCCCCCACUGUGCUGUGCAGACCCCAGCUGGGGGUUACUGUGCUCCCCCCCCCCCCAGCUCCUCAGAGGUGAAGGCAGCUGGUGGAUAGGGCUAAGUUGAUUCUAGCCCAGCUCGAGGGUCUAUGCAGGGUAAGUCCCAUGGAGGGGAGUUUCCCUCCCCUUGUGCUGUGCAGACCCAGGUUAGAGGGUGCUUGGGGUCCAUUCCUCUGCACCCCCACCCCAUCCUGCUGUGUUAAUAGGCACAGACAGAGGUUAGGGACCAGAGGUUUACUGCCUCAGCUCUGUUACAGCAGGGGGCCAGGACCAGCCCUGCUCUGCUUGACCAUACUGCACAGCCCAGGGCUGCAAAGCAUCUUGGGAUUCUGGGAGACUGUGAACUAAAUUAAACUGAGAGGGGAUCUGGGACAGAAGUUCAAUAAACCAAGUUAACCUAACCCAGUUAAAAGUGAUAUUAGUAAAUGUUUAGGAUUGUGAAUCCAAAAAAGAUAACAAAGCCGGUAGAGAAAUACAUAUCGCCCGAGCGAGGGACUAACAUUAGAGGGAUGAGGGUGAGUAGGGGAACGCAACUAGGUUACAGGAGAAACAAUGGGUCAUCCAUCUACAUCCAUCCAAGUUUAUCUUAGACCAGCUUCGGCCAUUUUGAAAGUGGUUUAUGUGCACUGAACUUCUAUUCUGUUAUAGGUUUAACCAAGUUUCUGAUCACUCAACGCAGUUCAUGUGUAACUUCUGUCCCUAGCCAAGAAGGAGUUGAUAAGCAGGGAGUUUCAUUUACUAGGCUUGAGCUUUACUGGCAUUUCUACACAGUUGCCAAAGGAGCUUGUACAUAGGGCUUUUGUGCAUCAUGCCUGCUUUAGGAAGUGCUGUGCCUUUCUCUUUCAGUUUCCAGAGCAUUAGAUUUAACAACAGCUUUUAAAGAAACUGGGAGACUUUACAAACUCCUCUGCAUUUGCAAUAGUGAAAUAUGAAAAAGAAGCAAAGAAAAGAAGGGUAAUAUUUCCCACAAUGGAAGAUAAAGGAGUUUAUUAAAAUGUGCAGAGCAAUAAUUUGAGAGAUCCCCUGAGAAUAUUUUAUUAGUAUCUUCCAUUCCCUGUAUAUUUUAACUUUGCUAUUUUAUUUAUACAUAAGGCAUGACUCAAAAUCACAACCAGAUUGUGAAGUCAGCAUCCUGAAGAGGACUCAAGUUUGCCACAUUAAAUAAGUGAAGAUACUUAUCACCUUGUGUUAAUUUGUUCAGAGAAUAUUAUUAAGGUUAUUGCAACCCCUUUAAAUUCUAAUCCAAUUUAUGCACACUGGUCCUUUAGAGUAUUUUCAAUUCUUAAUGUUCAAAUUGGCAGCUACAUGGGACUUGCAUGAUAAACCAUGCAUUAGGCAGGGCUGUUUUUUAUCAACAGUAUUCCAAUAAAGUCAUUUAAAACUG
This is a long non-coding RNA of Alligator mississippiensis (American alligator), 8448 nucleotides long. RefSeq lists it as uncharacterized. The record is from RefSeq and is a predicted model, not a curated record. Lineage: Eukaryota; Metazoa; Chordata; Crocodylia; Alligatoridae. The transcript has 3 exons.